CCAAGAUAAAUAUUUAUAUAAUUCUUUGUAACAGAGGCAAGGUUCAGGAAAAUCCCUGACUGGUUCUAGAGCGGGCUGCAGAGCUGGGCCAGGGAGGUGCGGGGGCCCCUUGGAGGGAGAGGAGUCUGGCUGCGGCCUCCGGAGCAGCUGGUGCCUGCCCGGGUGGCGGACACGCUGUCCUGGCACAGAGGCCCACGGGCAGUGGCCAGAGCAGGGCCCAGAUGACUGUGUGCCCUCGCUGGCGCGCUGGGCCACUGGAGGCCCCGGGCCCGUGGAGAGAGGGCGCAGGCUGGGCUCUGCCACACCAGCCUCCCCGCGUCUCUGCAAAGAGCAUCGCGCUCCCGAGAUCGUGGCUGACGUGCUGUGUGACCUCAGGCGAGUCACCCCACGUCUUGGGGCCACCAUGUCCUGGCCCAUCAAGCGAGGGGAGCGCUAGGUGGCUGCGCCACGAGGCUGAGCAGGGAGCCGAGGGGAGACAGACGUGAAACUGCCCUGUCACCGUCAUCUUCACGGCCGUGCGGCGCGGGCUACGCGAGUCGAGCCGGGUUCGAGGAAGCCGUCCACGCACUUGAACUCCUCUUACAGCAACAGGGGCGCAAGUGCGUCGGGGCUCCCGUCCGGCGCCACGCGGCUUGCGAGAGGCAGAAGCACCACGACAGGCGGACAGCGGGAGGCCUCCUGUUGUCGCUCCAGGUCCCGGCUGUGGGUCAAUCCGAGGAUGGGCAGCUUCGAAGCCGGAGCCCAGGGGCAGCUCGGGCCCGUCCGGGAGGGCGCGCACGGGGCGAGGCGCUCCCCCAGGCGCUGGGAUGUCAAUUCCUCAUCUCCCGGGUGCCCCCCUCGUGCUGGGCCUGCUUUCCUGUCACCUCUCGUCAAUCCCCAGAGCAACAGUCAGGCGCACAGGCGCCCCUGACACCCACGACCAAGGCCUGGCGGCAACGGGAGAUGCAUCAAUUAUCGGACCUCAGCUCUCCGCUCCGAGGCUGUGCCUCAGGGCCAGGACCCUGGCCACCUGCCCCCUCUGAGGGCUGCAGGGCCUCCGGGGAAGGCGGCCUGGCCCGCCCUGUCCCUGGAGCACCUGCUGGGCUGCCUCCAGGCCUCCGCCUCCCCCGAUGGGCGCUGGGCAGGCCAUUUCAGACAGAGUAACUGAGGCCCGCUGAGGCGUGGGGACCUGGCCUGGGUUCAGAACCCGGCUUCCUGGUGCCUCUGGGCUCUGCUCACAGACCACAGGUCCCCCCACCUGCCUUGGGCCGCCUGCCCAUCCUCCGCCCUCCGGCCAGUCAUUCAGCAGCACUGGCACCGCACACGCGCCCGGGGCUGAGCAGCCAGAGGCCACCCUGGGCUUCAGGGCCUCGCGUAGGCAGAGUGGAGCCGGAGCACAGGCAGGGCCCUCGGCCGCUCCUGAGCAGGACCUGGGGCUGGGACCUCGGGAGGAAUGCCCCCAGGGAGCCCUCGGGGACAUGAGGUCGGAGGAGAGGCCCCGGAGGCAGUGGCAGGCGGCCGUGGCUCAGGAGGGGAACUGAGGGGUGAGAGGGGGGCAGGGCCAGGAGGCCUGAGGUCAAGGAACCAGUGCCAAAGGCAGUGGGGAGCCACAGAAGCCAAGCAAGGGACACAGCGUGCAGUCACGGAGCACGGACUGGUGAGGGGCCAGGGCGGAUGCAGAGGCCGGGAGCAGGGCUCGGCGGCCAACCCCAAAUGCCAGUGGGAGAAGGGGGGCGGCCCUGGGGGCACCAGAGCCAUGUGCCCGAGCCACCAGGCAGCGCCACCCUUUUGGGGCCCGAGGGGCUGCUUCUGCCAUGCCCCCCACCGCCUCGGCCGGCCUCCGCUCCCACCCACAGGCCCCGCCAGCCCCCUUCUCGCUCCCUGUCUCACUGCGGGGCCAGGGUGACAGGGAGGCCAGGUGGUGGUGGCCUCCCUACCCCAGCGGAGGCCUCCCUGGCACUGCUGUCUGGGUGCGGGCGGGACGCAGGGGACCAGGGAGGGCGUGAGAUUCCCGUGGGAAAGGGUGGCUCUAGCAGCGGCUCCUCCAGCGGCUCUAACAGUGGCUAAGCUCCGGGCGGCUCGGCGGGCACCCCCGCCAGCCCCAGACACAAAGGCUGCUGGCAGUGGCCGGGCCCUGCAGACAGUGAGGGAGCCCCAGGCGGCCGAGCCGGGCCGCCUUCCGCUGCGGCUCCGCCUCUAUUCCCGUGGCCCCUUCGCAGGCGGACUUGACCCUUACCAAGGGCACAGGCCCUCGGGUCCACGCAACAUCCCGCACGGCUCCCGGAGCCCCACUGUCGCCUCCCUCCGCCCCAAAGAUUUUGUCUCCCAAACAAGCGGCGCCUAGAGAUCACCGCGCAUCCUCUCUCAGGGGUGCAGGAGAGCAGCCGAUGGGGCCUUUGAUGGGCGUGAGUGAGCCAGGGGUCGGGGCCUCGUGUUUCUCGACCGAGUGAGCGAAUGAAUGGACGGGGGGGAUGGAACUGCAGCCCCAAGCAGAGCCACUGCUGCCUUUUUUUAGCCUGAGCAAAGGACAUCUCCCCAAGGCUUUGAAGAACACGGCUCGUGAUUCCCAGGGUCCCCUCUGUGACCACCCUUCAAGAUGCCUGGGCUGUGAAACCAAGGUGCCCGGGACCUGCCUCCCCAUGCUGGCCAUCCCAGGGCCUCCUGAGCUCACCCUGAAGCCCCCUUUCCUGGCCCUGGCCCUGCCUAGGGCUCCCAGAGACCCCCAGGAGUUCCCCUGACCCGUCAGUGUCCCCAGGCCCAGGGUCCCGGGGAGCCUCCUGCUGGGGGUCGGACGGGCACGCGAGGAGAGAGGGUACGUGCCCGAGGAACCCGCCCGGCGGCUUUGCAGAGCCAGAGAGCAGGACGCGUGUCAUCGGUGAGGACAGCGGGAUGGCUUUUAAGGUGAAACGCACACUCGCUCAUGACAUCAGCACCAAGGGCGAAAAUGAAGACGGCAGGGUGUGUGAGCGCCCACAAACCGUCAGGGCAGGCGCCGCCCCCGCCCUCGGGCCUGGCUCGGGCCCCUUGGCCAGCCUGGGCAUCCCGUCCCCCGCUGCAGGGUCGGUGUGCGGCUGGGGCCUGGGAGCAGAACCGGCAGGGAGCCCGGGCGUGGAGGCAGCAUCUUCUUAAUCUCUCUCCUUUUAUAACGUCUGUCUCUUCUGUGCUCGUGCAAGGAUCCCAGCUCAGCCGCCAGCGUCUCUUCCCCGGGCUGAGCCGUCUCCUUGCAGCUAAUGCCUGACAGCUCUGUUUAUGUCUCCCCAUAAUUCUCCAGUUUUAUGUUUUUUUUUUUCGGGGCCAUUAAGCUCCGAGCCACGAGCUCCUUCCCCUGCCCCCGCCCGCCUUUGUCCUUGAGGCCUGGCCGCCCCGCCGCCCUCUGGGAAAAGGGCUGUCCUCCCCAGCAGGUGGACAAGGACCCGGGCUGGAGCCCUUCCUCAGGGCAGCCCCUAACACCAGGCCCCUGUCCUCUCAUCACAGGUCUCAGCCCGCUUGUCCCCAGGGAGGCAAGAGGCACCAGAGCCUGGAGGGCUGGGCAAGGCCACUCUGGCUGGCGCCUAGAGUCCGGCUUCUCUUCCCUGGUGAUGGCUGCUCCCCCAGGCCACUCCCCAGGACAAAGACCCCCUGCCCCUCGCCCCGCAGCUCCAGAACCCCCAGCUCCAGCAUAUCCACGGCCUGCUGAGACCCCUCCUCUCUACGGACCCUGGCCUCUGCCCCUGUCUCCCCGCAGCCCAGCUUUGCGGAGGCCCCCACGUCCUCAGGGUCCCCCCACCACCGACAACCACAGCCUGGAGGUGGCCUCGUGUCACCUCCAGGCUGGUUUCCCAGUUCCCAGCCUCUGCUCCAUGCGACGGCUCACAAGCGCUGCCCUGGGUGGCCCCUUGCUGUAGGACCUUCCAUGGCUCCCCAUUACUGUCAGCUACUCGAGUCCUGGCCCAGGGAGGCGCCCAGGACCCUGCAGCCCCUGCUGCAGGCCUCAGUGUCCCGGGCAGCGGCGGCCCCAGCGCCAGGCCGGCUCCCAGCCCUGGGUGACCUCCCCCUUUGCCUCUGCAGGUCAAACCAAGGCUGCGGGGGCCUCCGCGGGCCUGCCCUGACCGCCCCAGCGAGGGCAGAGCCGCCCUGGCCUCUGGAUGCCCAGGAACCUCUCUCUGGGUGCCCUAACCCUCUCUAUGCAGCCCCUGGUCGCCCCAGACCCGACGCCCGCCUUUCUGUGUGCCCUGGGUGGACAGGUGUGCCUCUCAGAGCCCCAGCGUCCCCCCCGCAGCAUGGAACAGUGGUCCCCGUCCUGUGGGCCCAGCAGGGGCCACCCUAGGCCAGAGUCACCCAACCACGGCCGACCUGGGAUCUUGCAAGGGAGGGCAUCCCUCUGACGCCCCCUCUCUUCCUGGGGACAUGGCUCUCCAGGGGUGACGCAGCAGGAGGCGUGCCCCCAGGUCCUGCUCCUCUGGGAGCCCUCACCUCCCGGGGCAGCGUCAUUCCUCCCCUGCCUUCUCGAAUCUCCGCUCUUGCCUUCUGCUGAGCUGCCUCUGCAGCCAGAGGCCCCCGGCCCGCCCUGGAUGCCCUUCCCUGCACGUGCAGGCGGCCGGGCCACGCUCCUGCAUUGUCUCCAGGCUCUGGACAGGUGGCCCGCGUCCCCAAGGAGAAGGAGGGAAGCCGGCCACGGCGCGUCUCCGCCAGCACCGAGGUCUGCCCUCUCCUGCACAGGGCCUCGGCUUCAGUCAAUUCCAGCCCAGGGGUCCCGCGUCUCCCUCCUGUCCGGCCGCAGCACGGCAGGGCCCCAGCCCCCAGCCAGACUCCCCGCCCUUGACAGAUGUCGCUGCCGCACAGGCAGCCCCUGGCCUGAGCCUCCAUGUGACCCCAGCUGGGUUCUCUUCCAAGCUGGGGGCAGCCUGGACCCCUGCCCCUCACAGACAGCCCGACGUGGGGGCAGCCAGGCCACCCUCUUGUCAAGAGCAGUGCAAGCUUCCUAACUUGAGGGGCCCAGUGCAGGAUGAAAGAGGGACCCUGCUCCGAAAGCUGUCUCAGGACGGUGACAGAGCAGCCUAGACCAAGCCCGGGGCUUUCUGAGCUCGGGCCCAUGCAGCCGGCACCGGCCGAGGAGGUCAGCAGGCCAGCUGUCCCACCCUGCACUGUUCCCAGGUCCCCGGCUCUGCUACAACCUGCAGGAAGAUCAGAAUACAGUCCACGAGUCACACCCAGGAGGGAGAGAUGCGACGACAGCUGUGCUGACCCAGCACUUCCUAGGUGCGAAGUAUCCUGCACGGACUCAGCCGCAGACCGUCGCAGCCACCAGCCCUGUGCUUCCGAGGGCUUCCGCCAGGCAACAGGGUGGGAGCACUGGAGGCAGGGGGGGAGCAGUGGAGGCAGGAUGAGCGCGACUGCAGGGCUGAGGCUCCCAAAUGAACCACGCGCCAGGUGAGAGACCCCGAGAUCGGUCUGAACAGAGCCGGAGAAGCCACCCUAACCUCUUCCCCCAGAGAUGCAGAAACCAAGGCUCAGAAAGGGUGCCCAGCCCCGUGAGAUCACACAGCACAGCAGGGCCCCCAACAAAGCAGCCCUGUUUCCAAUGACCCAGGCAAAUGCGCGUGAUUUGGCAAUUUGGCACCUAAGGAAAAGGGCAGGAAGCAAAAGCCAGUAGACGGACACACACACACACACACACACACACACACACACACACGCGCGCGCGCGCACACUUUGGUGCCUUCUCAUCAGAGGGCCUGGCGGUGACUUCUCUACGUUUUCAGUUAUUUCCUGUAUCUUUUCCGGUAAGCUGAUGUUUUUCAAAAGACCAAUAGUGACAUUCCCGUCGUGGUGCAGCGGAAACGAAUCCGACUGGGAACCAUGAGGCUGCAGGUUCGAUCCCUGGCCUCGCUCAGUGGUGAUGCCCACGGUGUGUCCGCAGAGGCCUGCUCAUCUGGCCCAGACACCACAGAAACACGGGAAUCCACCUCGUGUGGGAUUUCUCGGGGAGAAGCUGAGCAGUGGCCAGGCGGGCUCCUCUCCCUCCUCUUCCCUUGUCCCUACGGUCCCCUGGGGACCUCCGGCCAUCUGCGGGGCCCACUCUUGUCCCAGGAGCAAGGAUGAACUAAGACCUGGGCUGGCAGGGGUCGAGGUCCCUGGAAGGGGAAACGGAUGGCUGGCGUCGGGGUGAUGGGCACCUCCGGGGUCCGAGCCAGGGCCAGGGGCAGUGGGAGGCCUGGGCGGGGAGGCCUGGCCCAGGAAGGUUGGGUUGGCCCAGGGAGAGCCAAGGCGUGGCCCCCAGACAUGCCCACACCACAAACAUGUCCACCGGGCCCGGUCACACCCUCCGUCGGGGCGGACGCAGGGCACAGAAACGCCCCCUCCCCACCUCCCCGAGAGCCACACAUGCACGGCGUCCAGGCCACCCCAGCACCCGCAGCUCCGCAGCCGCCUGCGUGCACGGAACACACGCUCUCACCCUCCUCCACGCUCCCCGACUCUGAGCCGGGUCCGGGGACACUGAGGGGCGGCCUCCUAACCACCCUGUGUCCCCUGGGGAAAUCCCCGGGCCCAGGACUCUGGGGACCACGGAGGGGCCCACGGCAUAGAGGAGCGCACACGGGGCGACCGGCUGGCACACCCACGGAGCUCCCUCCCUCGGGAGCGGCCCUGGCUCUUCUGGGUCCUCUCGCGACGACAGAAAGCUCCUCGCGGGGUGGAGCCGCAACUUGGCAAAGUCGCCUCCGUCCACACAGGUCGGCGCUGCUCUCUGGAGAGGGUGUGGCAUUUGGGCACGUGCCCGCGCGUGCCCCCACAUGCAGACACACAGGCAGGCAGCUAACACGCUUCCAGGCCCUCGACUGGCCACGGGCAGGGAGGAGGCGGCCCUGGGACCCGGGCGGGCGUUCUCAGCGCCUCCAGGCUGGCGGGGGGGGGCUCCCCUGGGAGGAUAAUUACCCUUUAUUAAGCCUCCCGAUUUAGACUCAGCCUCAAUUAACUGGAACCUCCCAAGCCCCCUUUUCUGAUCCUUCGGGGCCAAGGGCAGACGGGCCCAACCCCCCCACCCCGCACGGGCCAGCUCCUGCCCAGAAAAGGUGCCCCCAGCCCUUGUCCCGGACACUCUAGGUACCCCUCCCCAGCAGCGCACGAGGGGCGGGGACCCCAGGGCUCCCAGCUUUCUGGAGACGCCCUGCAUUGGUAUUCUCGUCCCUCGCAGCCCAAAUUACACGGCCUCUCCUGGGACCCUUUCAUUGCACGCUGUCGCUCCAGCAAAAGGUUAUGCACGAGAACAUCGAAAUCCCUCCCGCAUAUUAACGAAAAGGCGUCUUUUAAAUGCGCAGGGAAAAGCGGCCAAUUUUACAGUAUCUGAGAUGCGGACGGGCGGGCGCUGGGCCCUGGGCAGGGCGUGGAGGACAGGGGGCUGUGGCAUGUCCUGUCUCCUCUCCCUGGGGCCCUGACCGCGGGGCAGCUGCCCGGCACCUCUCCUCCUCCCCAGGCGGGUCCCCACCUGUGCACCCUUCCUUUCAUUUUAUUUUUGGGGGGCGUCUGGAGCAUGGCUGGAAAACACCUUCAAAACCCAGUUUGAAUCAGCUUCUCAGUUCCGGCAGCUUCCAGAUGCGUUUCAAAGAUAUUUCAAAUCUGCCCAAGAUCAAUGCAAGCUGGGGUGCCGGGACGGGAACCCCGGUGCGAGUGGGGGUGCCAGGGGACAAACCGGACAGAGCGGGGACCGCAGAGACGCAGGCGGCCCCGUCUCAGCUCCACCUGCGGGGGCUGACGGGCCUGCGGGCGGCACUACGACCCUCCAGCUAGAAGAGAAGCCCGAAGUGGGAUGUUUAUACGAAAUCCCAUGUUAUUUUUUAAACCCUGUGCUGGCCAAACAGCGCCCAUCUAAGGGCCUCAGCCAGCGACAGCCCCGCGCAGGAGCACAGAGGAGAGCAGUCUGCUCAGAGGCGGUGGGGGCUGGGGGUGGGGGCAGGACGUCGGAAGCGGAGACCGCUGGGGUGCUCCUCUGUCAGCUGGGGGUGACAGCCAGGCCCCCCAACACGAGAGACUCAGCGGGACCACAGGAUGAAGCGGGGGGGGGAGGGAGGACGAGGUCCCCCAGGUCGGUCCCCUCCUGGGUCAGGCCAGGCCCGAGAUGAUGUGAGCCCCGCGCAGCUGCCCAGGUGCCCAAGGAGGGCGCCCCUGCCUCCCAUCACAGCCGCUCCCUCCGGUCACCGCAACGGGACCCCCGAUGCCGGGAACCCUGUGGGGAAGCCCGUCCUGCCAGGCCCACAGUCAUCCCAGCCUGGCUUCUUACGGGUCCUGGCGGCCUUGACCCACAGGGGCCUGCUUCCUCCAAGCCUCGGCUUCUUCAUCCGUAAAGU
RNAcentral lists this long non-coding RNA (8303 nucleotides) under Sus scrofa (pig). Its description in RNAcentral is "lncRNA (ENSSSCG00025022361.1)". Lineage: Eukaryota; Metazoa; Chordata; Mammalia; Artiodactyla; Suidae. The record is from RNAcentral.